This 782-nucleotide ribosomal RNA is filed under the name uncultured bacterium. Its description in RNAcentral is "bacterial SSU rRNA". It matches the Rfam family "Bacterial small subunit ribosomal RNA", at positions 583 to 1368 of the family's 1533-position model. The record is from RNAcentral.
ACAAGUCAGAUGUGAAAUCCGGGGGCUCAACCCCCGAACUGCAUUUGAAACUGUUGGUCUUGAGUAUCGGAGAGGCAGGCGGAAUUCCUAGUGUAGCGGUGAAAUGCGUAGAUAUUAGGAGGAACACCAGUGGCGAAGGCGGCCUGCUGGACGACAACUGACGGUGAGGCGCGAAAGCGUGGGGAGCAAACAGGAUUAGAUACCCUGGUAGUCCACGCUGUAAACGAUGGAUACUAGGUGUGCGGGGACUGACCCCCUGCGUGCCGCAGCUAACGCAAUAAGUAUCCCACCUGGGGAGUACGAUCGCAAGGUUGAAACUCAAAGGAAUUGACGGGGGCCCGCACAAGCGGUGGAUUAUGUGGUUUAAUUCGAUGCAACGCGAAGAACCUUACCAGGGCUUGACAUCCUACUAACGAAGUAGAGAUACAUUAGGUACCCUUCGGGGGAAGUAGAGACAGGUGGUGCAUGGUUGUCGUCAGCUCGUGUCGUGAGAUGUUGGGUUAAGUCCCGCAACGAGCGCAACCCUUAUUGUUAGUUGCUACGCAAGAGCACUCUAGCGAGACUGCCGUUGACAAAACGGAGGAAGGUGGGGACGACGUCAAAUCAUCAUGCCCCUUAUGUCCUGGGCUACACACGUAAUACAAUGGCGGUCAACAGAGGGAUGCAAAACCGUGAGGUGGAGCGAACCCCUAAAAGCCGUCCCAGUUCAGAUCGCAGUCUGCAACCCGACUGCGUGAAGUCGGAAUCGCUAGUAAUCGCGGAUCAGCAUGCCGCGGUGAAUA